UCGGGAAUCUUGCACAAUGGGCGAAAGCCUGAUGCAGCAACGCCGUGUGGGCGAGGAAGGUCUUCGGAUCGUAAAGCCCUGUUGUUGGGGACGAAGGGCGAAGGGUUAAUAGCCCCCAGCCUGACGGUACCCUUCGAGGAAGCCCCGGCUAACUACGUGCCAGCAGCCGUGGUAAUACGGAGGGUCCAAGCGUUGUCCGAAAUUACUGGGUGUAAAGGGUGUGCAGGCGGAGCGGAAAGUCAGAGGUGAAAGCCCGCAGCUUAACUGUGGAAUUGCCUUUGAUACUACCGCUCUUGAGUCCCGGAGAAGCUGUCGGAAUUCGUGGUGUAGCGGUGAAAUGCGUAGAUAUCACGAGGAACACCAGAAGCGUAAGCGGACAGCUGGACGGUGACUGACGCUCAGGCACGAAAGCGUGGGGAGCAAACAGGAUUAGAUACCCCGGUAGUCC
RNAcentral lists this ribosomal RNA (448 nucleotides) under uncultured prokaryote. RNAcentral's name for it is "bacterial SSU rRNA". It matches the Rfam family "Bacterial small subunit ribosomal RNA", at positions 355 to 796 of the family's 1533-position model. The record is from RNAcentral.